GUGAACGCUGGCGGUAGGCCUAACACAUGCAAGUCGAACGGCAGCACAGUAAGAGCUUGCUCUUACGGGUGGCGAGUGGCGGACGGGUGAGGAAUACAUCGGAAUCUACUUUUUCGUGGGGGAUAACGUAGGGAAACUUACGCUAAUACCGCAUACGACCUACGGGUGAAAGCAGGGGAUCUUCGGACCUUGCGCGAUUGAAUGAGCCGAGGUCGGAUUAGCUAGUUGGCGGGGUAAAGGCCCACCAAGGCGACGAUCCGUAGCUGGUCUGAGAGGAUGAUCAGCCACACUGGAACUGAGACACGGUCCAGACUCCUACGGGAGGCAGCAGUGGGGAAUAUUGGACAAUGGGGGCAAGCCUGAUCCAGCCAUACCGCGUGGGUGAAGAAGGCCUUCGGGUUGUAAAGCCCUUUUGUUGGGAAAGAAAAGCAGCAGGUUAAUACCCCGCUGUUCUGACGGUACCCAAAGAAUAAGCACCGGCUAACUUCGUG
Molecule: ribosomal RNA, 491 nt
Filed under: uncultured bacterium
Lineage: Bacteria
Description: partial 16S ribosomal RNA
Rfam family: Bacterial small subunit ribosomal RNA
Source: RNAcentral